Molecule: unclassified non-coding RNA, 345 nt
Filed under: soil metagenome
Description: partial contains 5.8S ribosomal RNA, internal transcribed spacer 2, and large subunit ribosomal RNA
Rfam family: 5.8S ribosomal RNA (bases 1-120)
Source: RNAcentral
GAUGAAGAACGUAGCGAAAUGCGAUAAGUAGUGUGAAUUGCAGAAUUUAGUGAAUCAUCGAAUCUUUGAACGCACAUUGCGCCCCCUGGUAUUCCGGGGGGCAUGCCUGUCCGAGCGUCAUUGCUGCCCUCAAGCACGGCUUGUGUGUUGGGCCUCCGUCCUCCUCCCGGGGGACGGGCCCGAAAGGCAGCGGCGGCACCGCGUCCGGUCCUCGAGCGUAUGGGGCUUCGUCACCCGCUCUUGUAGGCCCGGCCGGCGCUUGCCGACACAUCAAUCUUUUUUCCAGGUUGACCUCGGAUCAGGUAGGGAUACCCGCUGAACUUAAGCAUAUCAAUAAGCGGAGGA